CAACCCUCAAGCCCUGCUUGGUGUUGGGGCCCUACGCACCGCCGUAGGCCCUUAAAGGUAGUGGCGGGCUCGCUAAAAUCCUGAGCGCAGUAGCACAUCUCGCUUGUGGUAUUUAGUGGGUGCCGGCCGUUAAACCCCCAACUUUUAUUA
RNAcentral lists this unclassified non-coding RNA (150 nucleotides) under uncultured Sordariomycetes. RNAcentral's name for it is "sequence contains ITS2". The record is from RNAcentral. Lineage: Eukaryota; Fungi; Ascomycota; Sordariomycetes.